RNAcentral lists this long non-coding RNA (825 nucleotides) under Mytilus galloprovincialis (Mediterranean mussel). The record is from RNAcentral. Lineage: Eukaryota; Metazoa; Mollusca; Bivalvia; Mytilida; Mytilidae.
GAUAUCAUAUUCUAUUUGAAAAUUACAUAAAGCUAAUAUUGACCACAAUCCUAUCUGCCUGCCAGCAAUAAUUAUGUCUUAGACAGUACUGACUAGUUUUGUGAAACAUGUACAUAAAUAUUUUUUAGUUGCUAAAAAAACAGUGAGAAAUUGGUCUGGUAUCUUUGUAAGAGGUUUAAACCCUGAAACUAACCCUCCUCCCCUUCUAUAAAAAAUCUUCAGAUUAAUGUACAUCAAAAGUUUCUAGGGGCAUUGAGCUUUCAUGAGACACUAUGUAUGCAGUCAUGUUUGAGAUAUCAAUGAUACUUGUGGAUGUCAUGUGAAGUGCCAGCUGCCCCUGUCUUAGGUUGUCUCCCUUUCUGGGAGAUCUUACCCGUCAUUGGAAGCAGACCUGUGUCACUUGACAGAACAAAUAUCCAACAUUAGCCCCAUAAUACAUUUGAUGAAAAAAUCAAUACUUCAUUGAAGAAAUCAGCUUGUCAAAAUAUCUUUUCUGAUUCACCAAUAUAAAUGAUGACAUGAGUUUUUCUUACAGAAACCAGACCAAAAUUGUAAAAUUAGAAACUGAAAUACCUUUGCUUUUAAAAAGAAUGUUCAAAUAUAUUCACACUUACUAAAUUUGAAACUGCCAUUUAACUAACAACAUAUUGUGAUACUAUUACAAAGUCAUUCCAUGAUAUACCAUUCACAUUUUUUAUAUAUUGUAUCAAAAUCCAAUGAUAUGCCUUUCACAGUUCUAAUAUUUUCUAUCAAAAAACGAUGAUUUCUUAUUUUUUCUAUUGAAAUCCAAUGAUAUACCUUUCACAGCUCUUAUAUAUUCCAUAU